UUAAGCGACUAAGCGUACACGGUGGAUGCCCUGGCAGUCAGAGGCGAUGAAGGACGUGCUAAUCUGCGAAAAGCGUCGGUAAGGUGAUAUGAACCGUUAUAGCCGGCGAUGUCCGAAUGGGGAAACCCAGUGUGAUUCGUCACACUAUCGUUAACUGAAUACAUAGGUUAACGAGGCGAACCGGGGGAACUGAAACAUCUAAGUACCCCGAGGAAAAGAAAUCAACCGAGAUUCCCCCAGUAGCGGCGAGCGAACGGGGAGCAGCCCAGAGUCUGAAUCAGCUUGUGUGUUAGUGGAACGGUCUGGAAAGUCCGACGGUACAGGGUGAUAGUCCCGUACACCAAAAUGCACAGGCUGUGAACUCGAAGAGUAGGGCGGGACACGUGGUAUCCUGUCUGAAUAUGGGGGGACCAUCCUCCAAGGCUAAAUACUCCUGACUGACCGAUAGUGAACCAGUACCGUGAGGGAAAGGCGAAAAGAACCCCGGCGAGGGGAGUGAAAAAGAACCUGAAACCGUGUACGUACAAGCAGUGGGAGCACCUUCGGGUGUGACUGCGUACCUUUUGUAUAAUGGGUCAGCGACUUAUAUUCUGUAGCAAGGUUAACCGUAUAGGGGAGCCGCAGGGAAACCGAGUCUUAACUGGGCGUUAAGUUGCAGGGUAUAGACCCGAAACCCGGUGAUCUAGCCAUGGGCAGGUUGAAGGUUGGGUAACACUAACUGGAGGACCGAACCGACUAAUGUUGAAAAAUUAGCGGAUGACUUGUGGCUGGGGGUGAAAGGCCAAUCAAACCGGGAGAUAGCUGGUUCUCCCCGAAAGCUAUUUAGGUAGCGCCUCGUGAACUCAUCUUCGGGGGUAGAGCACUGUUUCGGCUAGGGGGUCAUCCCGACUUACCAACCCGAUGCAAACUACGAAUACCGAAGAAUGUUAUCACGGGAGACACACGGCGGGUGCUAACGUCCGUCGUGAAGAGGGAAACAACCCAGACCGCCAGCUAAGGUCCCAAAGUCAUGGUUAAGUGGGAAACGAUGUGGGAAGGCACAGACAGCCAGGAUGUUGGCUUAGAAGCAGCCAUCAUUUAAAGAAAGCGUAAUAGCUCACUGGUCGAGUCGGCCUGCGCGGAAGAUGUAACGGGGCUAAACCAUGCACCGAAGCUGCGGCAGCGACACUAUGUGUUGUUGGGUAGGGGAGCGUUCUGUAAGCCUGCGAAGGUGACCUGUGAGGGUUGCUGGAGGUAUCAGAAGUGCGAAUGCUGACAUAAGUAACGAUAAAGCGGGUGAAAAGCCCGCUCGCCGGAAGACCAAGGGUUCCUGUCCAACGUUAAUCGGGGCAGGGUGAGUCGACCCCUAAGGCGAGGCCGAAAGGCGUAGUCGAUGGGAAACAGGUUAAUAUUCCUGUACUUGGUGUUACUGCGAAGGGGGGACGGAGAAGGCUAUGUUAGCCGGGCGACGGUUGUCCCGGUUUAAGCAUGUAGGCUGAUUAUCCAGGCAAAUCCGGAUAAUCAAGGCUGAGGUGUGAUGACGAGGCACUACGGUGCUGAAGUAACAAAUGCCCUGCUUCCAGGAAAAGCCUCUAAGCAUCAGGUAACAUCAAAUCGUACCCCAAACCGACACAGGUGGUCAGGUAGAGAAUACCAAGGCGCUUGAGAGAACUCGGGUGAAGGAACUAGGCAAAAUGGUGCCGUAACUUCGGGAGAAGGCACGCUGGUGUGUAGGUGAAGUCCCUGCGGAUGGAGCUGAGACCAGUCGAAGAUACCAGCUGGCUGCAACUGUUUAUUAAAAACACAGCACUGUGCAAACACGAAAGUGGACGUAUACGGUGUGACGCCUGCCCGGUGCCGGAAGGUUAAUUGAUGGGGUUAUCCGUAAGGAGAAGCUCUUGAUCGAAGCCCCGGUAAACGGCGGCCGUAACUAUAACGGUCCUAAGGUAGCGAAAUUCCUUGUCGGGUAAGUUCCGACCUGCACGAAUGGCGUAAUGAUGGCCAGGCUGUCUCCACCCGAGACUCAGUGAAAUUGAACUCGCUGUGAAGAUGCAGUGUACCCGCGGCAAGACGGAAAGACCCCGUGAACCUUUACUAUAGCUUGACACUGAACAUUGAGCCUUGAUGUGUAGGAUAGGUGGGAGGCUUUGAAGCGUGGACGCCAGUCUGCGUGGAGCCAACCUUGAAAUACCACCCUUUAAUGUUUGAUGUUCUAACGUUGGCCCCUGACCGGGGUUGCGGACAGUGUCUGGUGGGUAGUUUGACUGGGGCGGUCUCCUCCCAAAGCGUAACGGAGGAGCACGAAGGUUAGCUAAUCCUGGUCGGACAUCAGGAGGUUAGUGCAAUGGCAUAAGCUAGCUUGACUGCGAGCGUGACGGCGCGAGCAGGUGCGAAAGCAGGUCAUAGUGAUCCGGUGGUUCUGAAUGGAAGGGCCAUCGCUCAACGGAUAAAAGGUACUCCGGGGAUAACAGGCUGAUACCGCCCAAGAGUUCAUAUCGACGGCGGUGUUUGGCACCUCGAUGUCGGCUCAUCACAUCCUGGGGCUGAAGUAGGUCCCAAGGGUAUGGCUGUUCGCCAUUUAAAGUGGUACGCGAGCUGGGUUUAGAACGUCGUGAGACAGUUCGGUCCCUAUCUGCCGUGGGCGCUGGAGAAUUGAGGGGGGCUGCUCCUAGUACGAGAGGACCGGAGUGGACGCAUCACUGGUGUUCGGGUUGUCAUGCCAAUGGCACUGCCCGGUAGCUAAAUGCGGAAGAGAUAAGUGCUGAAAGCAUCUAAGCACGAAACUUGCCCCGAGAUGAGUUCUCCCUGAGACUUUAAGUCUCCUGAAGGAACGUUAAAGACGAUGACGUUGAUAGGCCGGGUGUGUAAGCGCAGCGAUGCGUUGAGCUAACCGGUACUAAUGAACCGUGAGGCUUAACCUU
Molecule: ribosomal RNA, 2900 nt
Filed under: Klebsiella pneumoniae
Lineage: Bacteria; Pseudomonadati; Pseudomonadota; Gammaproteobacteria; Enterobacterales; Enterobacteriaceae
Description: 23S ribosomal RNA
Rfam family: Bacterial large subunit ribosomal RNA
Source: RNAcentral